RNAcentral lists this ribosomal RNA (675 nucleotides) under Triticum aestivum (bread wheat). RNAcentral describes it as "partial small subunit ribosomal RNA". Lineage: Eukaryota; Viridiplantae; Streptophyta; Magnoliopsida; Poales; Poaceae. The record is from RNAcentral.
AUGCACGUACGCUCGACUCGAUUUGCAGGAAUGAACCAUCACGAAAUGGGCACACGAACUAGUAUGAGCUUACCUGGAGUGCUCCAUCUUGGGGAGGUAGAAGAAGGGGCCGAACCCGGCGCCCUGGCCGGCGCGGAAGGCGGCGUGGCUGUGGAAGAAGUAGAGCCCGAAGUCCACGAGGCAGCCGAUGGCCGGCUCGCCGUCGAUGAGCACGUGCGCCUCCGGCAGGUGCCAGCCGCGCGGCCUGACGAACAGCUUCGCGGUGCGCUCGUCGAGCUUGUACACCCGGCCGCCGCGCGCCGCGUCGCGGAAGCUUAUGGUGCCGGCCACGGCGUCCCGCAGGUUCACCUGCCCGCGCAUCAGGUUCUCCCACGUCGGCGCCAGCGCGUCCUCGAAGUCAGCCUGCCACGUCCACGUCACGUUUUUACUUUGUUACAUGCACGUACCUUUGGGCCCUGGUGCUGCACUUGUACGUACGUACGGCCACGCGGGCUUACCAUGAAGACCUUGGCGCCGGAGUUGAGCGCGUUGAUGACCAUCUUCCUCGGGUCGGCGGGGCCGGUGAUCUCCACGGUCCGGUCCGCGAUGGCCGGGGGCACGGGCGCGCACGCCCAUUCUCCCUCCCGGACGAACCUCGUGGAGGGGUCGAACCGUGGCAGCUCGCCGGCGUCGUAG